RNAcentral lists this ribosomal RNA (709 nucleotides) under uncultured bacterium. RNAcentral describes it as "bacterial SSU rRNA". It matches the Rfam family "Bacterial small subunit ribosomal RNA", at positions 57 to 758 of the family's 1533-position model. The record is from RNAcentral.
GCAGUCGAACGGCAGCACGGGAGCAAUCCUGGUGGCGAGUGGCGAACGGGUGAGUAAUAUAUCGGAACGUGCCCAGUCGUGGGGGAUAACGUAGAGAAAUUUGCGCUAAUACCGCAUACGAUCUAAGGAUGAAAGCGGGGGACUUCGCAAGAGGCCUCGCGCGAUUGGAGCGGCUGAUAUCAGAUUAGGUUGUUGGUGAGGUAAAAGCUCACCAAGCCGACGAUCUGUAGCUGGUUUGAGAGAACGACCAGCCACACUGGGACUGAGACACGGCCCAGACUCCUACGGGAGGCAGCAGUGGGGAAUUUUGGACAAUGGGCGAAAGCCUGAUCCAGCAAUGCCGCGUGCAGGAAGAAGGCCUUCGGGUUGUAAACUGCUUUUGUACGGAACGAAAAGGUCUGCCUUAAUACGGUGGGCCCAUGACGGUACCGUAAGAAUAAGCACCGGCUAACUACGUGCCAGCAGCCGCGGUAAUACGUAGGGUGCGAGCGUUAAUCGGAAUUACUGGGCGUAAAGCGUGCGCAGGCGGUGAUGUAAGACAGUUGUGAAAUCCCCGGGCUCAACCUGGGAAUUGCAUCUGUGACUGCAUCGCUAGAGUACGGUAGAGGGGGAUGGAAUUCCGCGUGUAGCAGUGAAAUGCGUAGAUAUGCGGAGGAACACCGAUGGCGAAGGCAAUCCCCUGGACCUGUACUGACGCUCAUGCACGAAA